This is an RNA transcript of Raphanus sativus (radish), 2555 nucleotides long. RefSeq lists it as uncharacterized. The record is from RefSeq and is a predicted model, not a curated record. The transcript is spliced from 8 exons. NCBI's taxonomy places the organism in Eukaryota, Viridiplantae, Streptophyta, Magnoliopsida, Brassicales, Brassicaceae.
UAUAUGUGAGAGAGAGAGAGAGAGAGAGAAAGAGACCCAGAGAGAGAGAGACCCCUCCUCAAGUAGUAGAGAAAGAGACCACAAAUCAAUUAUAUUAAAAAAAAAAAAGAAGAAGAAGAGAAAGCUCUCUCUCUCUUCCCUGUCUCUCUCUCAGAGCAUAUGUUGUUGGCUUCAUCCUUUCAGUAAAGGCCUUCUUGCCCCUAAACGAGCUCAACUCGAGGUCGCUGUAAUUCUGACAUACAGAAGAGCCAAUGCCAUAUAUAGACAUGAAGACCAAAACAAGCAAGGCUCUUGGUGUCUCUAAAAAACCUAAACCAACUAUCAGAACUUCAUCCUCUCUCUCCAAAAUCUCUGGCCACUUGGAAAGCAUAACAACAACAACAACACCUACUCUUACUUGCCACGACGAGCCCAAACAGCAACUUGGUUCGGAUACUUUUGCUCGGGAUGUUGAAACUAACGAGCCCGCUGAAAUGCUUGUUGAAGAAGACACUUCUCAGUCUCAGGCGUUUGCAUCUUCCCUUGAUGCUUCUGAAUCUGUCGCCAAAAUGGAGAUGGCUUGCAGCUAUAUAGCAAACUCAGAUACAAUAUUUUCUCCUGUUCUGAAUGAUGAACUCGAUGCAACUGAUCGAGUUUUUACGGCAGGAAACUCUGUGCACUGGGAAAUUCCCAGGUGGGGAGGCGACGAGAGCACCAACAAGAUUUGCUUUGACAACCAGACGUGCAACGUUUCUGAUUUCUUUAUAUCUGACGUUCUAAUUGCGAGCUUGCCGUUUGAUGAGAGUGGAAACAAUGAUGCGUUCACCGAGAUAAGCCCCUUGCCUCAUUUCAUAUUCCCAGAGCAGUACAUGUUACUACCUUACUUGGAAGAUGGAGCAGCCAACACAGAUGAUGUCAAGUCAGAUGCCGACAACAGGAUUACUCUGGAUAACCAUGAUUUGUUUCUGGCGUUCAACCGGACAAGAUCACACAAUAUGCAACCGGAGGAUCUUGCUGAAUCUGAACAAGCUGAAGAUUUUGAUCCUCAGCUAUUUAUAAAGAAUCAGCCGGAACUAUCGGACGUUGUAUCCAGCUAUUGGCCUAGGGAUACCCUAAGAAAAAAGGAUGUGACCCUUGUCCUUGAUUUGGAUGAAACUUUGGUCCAUUCGACUCUGGAAUCGUGCAGUGGUGCAGAUUUUUCCUUUAGAGUCUUUUUCAAUAUGCAAGAGAACACGGUCUAUGUGAAGCAAAGGCCACACCUGUACAAGUUCUUGGAGAGGGUGGUCGAACUGUUCCAUGUCGUUAUCUUCACGGCUAGUCACAGCAUCUAUGCUUCACAACUUCUAGAUAUAUUGGACCCAGAGGGAAAGUUCAUAUCGCAGCGUUUUUAUCGAGACUCAUGCAUUCUUUUGGAAGGAAUUUACACCAAGGAUUUAACUGUUCUGGGCCUUGAUUUGGCGAAAGUGGCUAUAAUUGACAACUGUCCGCAGGUGUACAGGUUGCAAAUAAAUAACGGGAUCCCUAUCAAAAGUUGGUAUGAUGAUCCAACUGAUGAUGGUUUGAUCACUAUACUUCCCUUCUUGGAGACUUUGGCUGUUGCUGAUGAUGUUCGGCCUAUCAUUGGCAGGAGAUUUGGUAACGAGGAAUAAGAGCUUCCUUCUCUCUUUUUUUGUCUAUAUACAUCGAGUGCAGAUUCUGAUUUCUCUCCUUUGGAAUUUUAGUCAUAAAAUGGCCCUUAAUUCUUAGUUUCAUAUCUCGUUUUAGGUCGUUAAUUAGGUAACCAAAGAAUAAGCUCGUCUGAGUCUAGUGAGAGUAAGUGUUCCUUGCUUGCUCGCUUUUUUUAGGAACCUUCUGAAUAUAAGAACUAGUUGUGGCCUUACAUCCUAAUCUAUUACUGGUUCUACUCUGCCAAGAUAGAUCUUGCAGUUUGUUACAAAUGUACAGUUGGUUUAAGCUGAGAUAAUGGAUGUGUAUAAAUGAGUUCUUAUUGAAUGAAAUCAUUUUGGAAGUUAAGAGCAGUUGCGUUCAUGUCUCUGUCUUUAAACUUCUCUUAUUAUACUGAUAGUUAAACCUUUUAGCUGCUUUUUUCCAGUAAUAUAAACACAGAGAAUGGCUACGCUAGUAAUGCAGAAGUUGAGCUUGAAUCUUGAUCCAGCUUAUAUGGUUUAUUUUAAAGCUUUUAAGCAAAGUUAUUACACUUUGCGCCUCUGGCCUUUGCAAAAUUCAGAUAAGAAAAUGGGAUGAUCCGUUCAACUCCAUGGUAUAUACUAUAUAGUCUAUAAUCCUCGUAAAAGUUUUCAUGAUUUUGCAUGCCUUAUGUGCAGAUUUAUCAUCGAACGAAGUAACGAACCCUAACUAUAUUAUACGCUUUAAGGAAAUGACUGACCAUGUAAUCUCUAUAUUAAAAGCUGAUUCCAAGUUUGUUAACCCAAUCCAAACGUGUUCCUCCUGUCUUCUGUUUCUCGCCAUUGUUUCAUGUAGAUAAUAGACUUAUAACAUACAGAUUCACAGAUGAUUGAUGAUAUGUAUCUCUCAGUUCCAGCAAUGUUCUUAAUCAAUUUCUGAGGGUUUGCUUA